This 1417-nucleotide ribosomal RNA is filed under the name bacterium NLAE-zl-P228. RNAcentral describes it as "bacterial SSU rRNA". It matches the Rfam family "Bacterial small subunit ribosomal RNA". The record is from RNAcentral.
AUCNGGCUUACCAUGCAAGUCGAGGGGCAGCAUUUCAGUUUGCUUGCAAACUGGAGAUGGCGACCGGCGCACGGGUGAGUAACACGUAUCCAACCUGCCGAUAACUCGGGGAUAGCCUUUCGAAAGAAAGAUUAAUACCCGAUGGNAUAAUCAGACCGCAUGGUCUUAUUAUUAAAGAAUUUCGGUUAUCGAUGGGGAUGCGUUCCAUUAGGCAGUUGGUGAGGUAACGGCUCACCAAACCUUCGAUGGAUAGGGGUUCUGAGAGGAAGGUCCCCCACAUUGGAACUGAGACACGGUCCAAACUCCUACGGGAGGCAGCAGUGAGGAAUAUUGGUCAAUGGGCGCAGGCCUGAACCAGCCAAGUAGCGUGAAGGAUGACUGCCCUAUGGGUUGUAAACUUCUUUUAUAUGGGAAUAAAGUUUUCCACGUGUGGAAUUUUGUAUGUACCAUAUGAAUAAGGAUCGGCUAACUCCGUGCCAGCAGCCGCGGUAAUACGGAGGAUCCGAGCGUUAUCCGGAUUUAUUGGGUUUAAAGGGAGCGUAGGUGGACAGUUAAGUCAGUUGUGAAAGUUUGCGGCUCAACCGUAAAAUUGCAGUUGAUACUGGCUGUCUUGAGUACAGUAGAGGUGGGCGGAAUUCGUGGUGUAGCGGUGAAAUGCUUAGAUAUCACGAAGAACUCCGAUUGCGAAGGCAGCUCACUGGACUGCAACUGACACUGAUGCUCGAAAGUGUGGGUAUCAAACAGGAUUAGAUACCCUGGUAGUCCACACAGUAAACGAUGAAUACUCGCUGUUUGCGAUAUACAGUAAGCGGCCAAGCGAAAAGCAUUAAGUAUUCCACCUGGGGGAGUACGCCGGCAACGGUGAAACUCAAAGGAAUUGACGGGGGCCCGCACAAGCGGAGGAACAUGUGGUUUAAUUCGAUGAUACGCGAGGAACCUUACCCGGGCUUAAAUUGCAUUUGAAUAAUNUGGAAACAGGUUAGCCGCAAGGCAAAUGUGAAGGUGCUGCAUGGUUGUCGUCAGCUCGUGCCGUGAGGUGUCGGCUUAAGUGCCAUAACGAGCGCAACCNUUAUCUUUAGUUACUAACAGGUCAUGCUGAGGACUCUAGAGAGACUNCCGUCGUAAGAUGUGAGGAAGGUGGGGAUGACGUCAAAUCAGCACGGCCCUUACGUCCGGGGCUACACACGUGUUACAAUGGGGGGUACAGAAGGCAGCUACCUGGUGACAGGAUGNUAAUCCCAAAAGCCUCUCUCAGUUCGGAUCGAAGUCUGCAACCCGACUUCGUGAAGCUGGAUUCGCUAGUAAUCGNGCAUCAGCCAUGGCGCGGUGAAUACGUUCCCGGGCCUUGUACACACCGCCCGUCAAGCCAUGAAAGCCGGGGGUACCUGAAGUACGUAACCGCAAGGAGCUCCUAGGA